CUGAAACAGAUCAAAAUAUUGCAGAAAGUGCUUCCCAAGUACAAGGAUCCCACAACAAUGUCUUAAAUAAAAAAGAUAGCACAUAGAACACAAACUGAUAUCCUAGAAGAACUUGAACUUCAAACAGAAAAAACUUAGUCUGGAUAUUUCUUCCAUACUUCAUGACAUUUCAGUCCCAACUACAAAACUGGCAAGGCUGAGGCACAUACUGAGAGAAUAAAGCACAACUACUGCUCUGGAGCAGGACCAGCACCAUAUCCCCCCCCACCACGACCAAAUCCAGGCCUACCACCAGCACCACCACUCCUAAACGAUGGCUGGAAGUCCGAAGGAGCACCACCCUUGUCGCCGCCACCGAAGUCACCGCCAGCACGAGGGCCUCCACGGUACCCAUCCCGGUCUCCAAAUCUCGGCCUGUCACCUUCAAACCGAGGCGGGCCCCUCGGGCGAUCGCCCGGUGGACCAGCGCCGAAUGGCCGAGACGGCGGCUUCGCAGACUUCUUGAGCGUCGCCGGCACGAUCUCCGAGGGUAGAUUGAGGAAAGUGCGGAGGAACUCAAUGCCGUCGUUGGUGAGGUACCAGUAGUAGUACAUCCACGCGAAGGUCUCCCGCACGUACUCCUUCGACUUGAAGCUCUGCAUCAGCUUGAUCACCUGCAGAUUCGGCACCUCGAUGUCCGGGUGCUGCUCGAGGUUGAAGUCCUUCUUUGCGUACAGCACGCCCUCUUUGAAGAGGUACUUGCAGAUCUCAUGGCGGUUCUUCUUGGGGAUGAUCAUGGCUGCUGGAUCGAGAAGGGGCUCAGAUCGGCGACGACGGCGCAGGCGGAGAUGGGAG
This 834-nucleotide unclassified non-coding RNA is filed under the name Hevea brasiliensis (rubber tree). Lineage: Eukaryota; Viridiplantae; Streptophyta; Magnoliopsida; Malpighiales; Euphorbiaceae. The record is from RNAcentral.